AUGGAAGAAGAAGUUGAUCAAACUGUGAGCUCAUUGGAUGAAAAAGAUGAGGAGGAGAGCGAAGAACAAAAGGAGGAAGAACGGAUUGAGCACCCGUGCCCACCUUCUAAUGAGAGUAACUCUUCAACUCAUACAUUGUUUAAUUUCCCUUCGUGCUUAUUGAAGGAUGAAUGCUAUGAUAAUUGCUAUGAUCCCGUUGAUUCUUUUGAAAUAUCCCAUUUUGAUGAUGCUUGCUAUGCUUGUGGCCAAGAUGCCAAUAUGAAUUAUGCUUAUGAAGAUGAACUUGCUAUAGUUCCACAUGUUAAACAUGAAAUUGUUGCUAUUGAACCCAUGCAUGAUAGUCCUAUUAUCUUUUUGAAUUCUCCCGACUAA
Molecule: ribosomal RNA, 372 nt
Filed under: Triticum aestivum (bread wheat)
Lineage: Eukaryota; Viridiplantae; Streptophyta; Magnoliopsida; Poales; Poaceae
Description: partial small subunit ribosomal RNA
Source: RNAcentral